AGUGAACGCUGGCGGUAGGCCUAACACAUGCAAGUCGAACGGCAGCACAGUAAGAGCUUGCUCUUACGGGUGGCGAGUGGCGGACGGGUGAGGAAUACAUCGGAAUCUACUUUUUCGUGGGGGAUAACGUAGGGAAACUUACGCUAAUACCGCAUACGACCUACGGGUGAAAGCAGGGGAUCUUCGGACCUUGCGCGAUUGAAUGAGCCGAUGUCGGAUUAGCUAGUUGGCGGGGUAAAGGCCCACCAAGGCGACGAUCCGUAGCUGGUCUGAGAGGAUGAUCAGCCACACUGGAAAUGAGACACGGUCCAGACUCCUACGGGAGGCAGCAGUGGGGAAUAUUGGACAAUGGGCGCAAGCCUGAUCCAGCCAUACCGCGUGGGUGAAGAAGGCCUUCGGGUUGUAAAGCCCUUUUGUUGGGAAAGAAAAGCAGCAGGUUAAUACCCCGCUGUUCUGACGGUACCAAAAGAAUAAGCACCGGCUAACUUCGUG
Molecule: ribosomal RNA, 492 nt
Filed under: uncultured bacterium
Lineage: Bacteria
Description: partial 16S ribosomal RNA
Rfam family: Bacterial small subunit ribosomal RNA
Source: RNAcentral